GCGAUCAUAGCUCAGUUGGUUAGAGUAUCGGUUUGUGGUACCGAGGGUCGUGGGUUCGAACCCCACUGUUCGCC
RNAcentral lists this transfer RNA (74 nucleotides) under Bernardetia litoralis DSM 6794. RNAcentral's name for it is "tRNA-His (GTG) (tRNA-His-GTG-1-1)". It matches the Rfam family "tRNA". From Rfam's summary of the family: Transfer RNA (tRNA) molecules are approximately 80 nucleotides in length. Their secondary structure includes four short double-helical elements and three loops (D, anti-codon, and T loops). Further hydrogen bonds mediate the characteristic L-shaped molecular structure. tRNAs have two regions of fundamental functional importance: the anti-codon, which is responsible for specific mRNA codon recognition, and the 3' end, to which the tRNAs corresponding amino acid is attached (by aminoacyl-tRNA synthetases). tRNAs cope with the degeneracy of the genetic code in two manners: having more than one tRNA (with a specific anti-codon) for a particular amino acid; and 'wobble' base-pairing, i.e. permitting non-standard base-pairing at the 3rd anti-codon position. The record is from Rfam by way of RNAcentral. Lineage: Bacteria; Pseudomonadati; Bacteroidota; Cytophagia; Cytophagales; Bernardetiaceae. RNAcentral also lists the same sequence under 4 other names.